RNAcentral lists this small nuclear RNA (331 nucleotides) under Mustela putorius furo (domestic ferret). RNAcentral describes it as "7SK RNA (ENSMPUG00000023017.1)". It matches the Rfam family "7SK RNA". Rfam says of the family: 7SK was discovered as an abundant small nuclear RNA in the mid-70s but a possible function has only recently been suggested. Two independent studies have found that 7SK RNA binds the CDK9/cyclin T complex (known as elongation factor P-TEFb). Lineage: Eukaryota; Metazoa; Chordata; Mammalia; Carnivora; Mustelidae. The record is from Rfam by way of RNAcentral.
GGAUGUGAGCACGAUCUGGCUGUGACAUCUGUCACCUCACUGAUCAGCAGAGUUGAUGUGGCUGAUCUGGCUGACUAGGCGGGUGUUCCCUCUUUCCCUCACCAGUCCAUGUGUGUCCCUCCCGAAGCUGCACGCUUGGUUGAAGUGGAUGACUGUCCCCAGUAGUGGAGGGCCGUUCUCUGGUCAAGGGCAUAUGAGUGGCUACACUCCCCUGCUAGAACCUCCAGACAAGCUCUCAGGGUCCGUUUGCAGGAGAGCGUCGGGUGGUCAGGUUUGCAAGACUCCAGAUACAUUCAAACACAGCCCUGCAUGGGACCGUGUGCCUUUCUUA